This 442-nucleotide ribosomal RNA is filed under the name uncultured bacterium. Its description in RNAcentral is "partial 16S ribosomal RNA". It matches the Rfam family "Bacterial small subunit ribosomal RNA", at positions 338 to 795 of the family's 1533-position model. The record is from RNAcentral.
CCUACGGGGGGCAGCAGUAGGGAAUCUUUCACAAUGGGCGAAAGCCUGAUGGAGCAACGCCGCGUGCAGGAUGAAGGCCUUCUGGUUGUAAACUGCUUUUAUAAGCGAGAAAUAUGAUGUUAACUUAUGAAUAAGGAUCGGCUAACUACGUGCCAGCAGCCGCGGUCAUACGUAGGAUCCGAGCAUUAUCCGGAGUGACUGGGUGUAAAGAGUUGCGUAGGUGGGAUAAUAAGUAGCUAGUGAAAUCUGGUGGCUCAACCAUUCAGACUAUUAGCUAAACUGUUAAGCUCGAGACCGUUAGGGGUAACUGGAAUUUCUAGUGUAGGAGUGAAAUCCGUAGAUAUUAGAAGGAACACCAAUAGCGUAGGCAGGUUACUGGGACGGUUCUGACACUAAGGCACGAAAGCGUAGGGAGCAAACGGGAUUAGAUACCCUAGUAGUC